GGCAUUCGCCUCGCUCACAUCGCAUCGCUGUAGCGCAGAUACGCGAGCGACGCGUCCUUAGGCAGCUGUCAACUCCCACAUCGCGGUCAACUUACUGUCGGGAAGGAAUAGAGUUUCGCUCAGCGUCAGGAGACUACCUGGUCGUCACGAAGGACAAGUGCAAUCAGCCGUAUCAUACUUUUUUUGUUCCGCCGCACACUGAAACACUAUGUUGCGUGCCGAGAGCAUUCAUUUCUGAAAGGAGGCAAGGCAAGGACGAGGACGAGGACGAGGACCGGGGACCUUCCAGCCGCAACUCAGCAAAGGAGUUGGAGCUGAGGCUGGCGCUACAGUGUACUCAACAGAUCUCAUUAAGCCUGGUAUGAACAACAUCAUCUGCUACAGUCCCCAGCAGGUAGAGUUGCAUUGUUGUCUCUGAGCUGGGC
Alosa alosa (allis shad) is the source of this 425-nucleotide long non-coding RNA. RefSeq lists it as uncharacterized. The record is from RefSeq and is a predicted model, not a curated record. The transcript has 3 exons. Lineage: Eukaryota; Metazoa; Chordata; Actinopteri; Clupeiformes; Clupeidae.